GCAAUUUCUCUGGAGAGCAAUGGGGCAGAAUGUCUUUAGAGUUGUUUAACAUAAAUGGUGAGUUACUGGAUUAGGAGAGGGAAAGCAAAACAGCCAUGCCUGGAGACACAAAGAGAAACUUUUUCCCCAGGGAAGGCCAGGAAAUGAAUUAAAGUGAUGGGGAGAGGAGAGCCUGGUAAGCUAUCUGGAUGGAAUGCAACAUUAGCUAGGCAGUGACAGGGAUGUUGGAACCCACCAAGUUCAUCUAGGAUCUGCUACUGUCAUUCCAAAGUCGCUGAAAUUCUCCAAACUUCCACUCUCGCAGUUGUACUCCGAGAUUUUGGAACCAAAAAACCCAUCUGGGUGCCGGAGCAGAAUGUUUGGCCAGUGGAGCCAGGUCCUACUGGCCCUGAUAAUAUGGAUUCAAGUGAAGAACAUCGAGGAAGCCCUGAGAUUUGCACUGGUGAGGAAUCCACCCAUACUGAUGCCACUCCUGCUUCUUGAGCAACUGCUGGUCCGAACGGAUGAGUC
This is an RNA transcript of Myodes glareolus (Bank vole), 510 nucleotides long. RefSeq lists it as uncharacterized. The record is from RefSeq and is a predicted model, not a curated record. Lineage: Eukaryota; Metazoa; Chordata; Mammalia; Rodentia; Cricetidae.